GACGAACGCUGGCGGCGUGCUUAACACAUGCAAGUCGAACGGAAAGGCCCUGCUUUUGUGGGGUGCUCGAGUGGCGAACGGGUGAGUAACACGUGAGUAACCUGCCCUUGACUUUGGGAUAACUUCAGGAAACUGGGGCUAAUACCGGAUAGGAGCUCCUGCUGCAUGGUGGGGGUUGGAAAGUUUCGGCGGGUGGGGAUGGACUCGCGGCUUAUCAGCUUGUUGGUGGGGUAGUGGCUUACCAAGGCUUUGACGGGUAGCCGGCCUGAGAGGGUGACCGGCCACAUUGGGACUAAGAUACGGCCCAGACUCCUACGGGAGGCAGCAGUGGGGAAUAUUGCACAAUGGGCGGAAGCCUGAUGCAGCAACGCCGCGUGCGGGAUGACGGCCUUCGGGUUGUAAACCGCUUUCGCCUGUGACGAAGCGUGAGUGACGGUAAUGGGUAAAGAAGCACCGGCUAACUACGUG
RNAcentral lists this ribosomal RNA (468 nucleotides) under uncultured bacterium. RNAcentral's name for it is "partial 16S ribosomal RNA". It matches the Rfam family "Bacterial small subunit ribosomal RNA", at positions 28 to 507 of the family's 1533-position model. The record is from RNAcentral.